GGGAAUAGCUCAAUUGGUAGAGCAUCAGCCUUCCAAGCUGAGGGUCGCGGGUUCGAAUCCCGUUUCCC
RNAcentral lists this transfer RNA (68 nucleotides) under marine eukaryotic metagenome. It matches the Rfam family "tRNA". Rfam says of the family: Transfer RNA (tRNA) molecules are approximately 80 nucleotides in length. Their secondary structure includes four short double-helical elements and three loops (D, anti-codon, and T loops). The record is from RNAcentral.